CAGCAGGAAAAUGGUGCAUUGUAUCUUCUAUCCACAAAUGACAAAACGAUAAAGUUUUGGAAGGUCCAAGAAAAGAAGGUAAAAAAGCUAUCUGAGAUGAAUUUGGACCGUUCAGCUGCUCCUGCAAAUGGUAGUCCUGGUGGCGUGGGAUAUCUGAGCCCAUCUCUCUCAAAUGGCAAUGCUCUAAAACCUGGCAGGCUUCCUUUGCUUCGCCUGCCUGUGGUAGUUACAAGCCAAGAAA
Molecule: long non-coding RNA, 241 nt
Organism: Zea mays
Lineage: Eukaryota; Viridiplantae; Streptophyta; Magnoliopsida; Poales; Poaceae
Exons: 3
Source: RefSeq, a predicted model, not a curated record